UACGUAGGGGGCAAGCGUUAUCCGGAUUUACUGGGUGUAAAGGGAGCGUAGACGGCGAUGCAAGUCUGAAGUGAAAACCUGGGGCUCAACCCCAGGAUUGCUUUGGAAACUGUAUUGCUAGAGUACCGGAGGGGUAAGCGGAAUUCCUAGUGUAGCGGUGAAAUGCGUAGAUAUUAGGAGGAACACCGGUGGCGAAGGCGGCUUACUGGACGGCAACUGACGUUGAGGCUCGAAAGCGUGGGGAGCAAAC
RNAcentral lists this ribosomal RNA (250 nucleotides) under uncultured prokaryote. RNAcentral describes it as "partial 16S ribosomal RNA". It matches the Rfam family "Bacterial small subunit ribosomal RNA", at positions 524 to 773 of the family's 1533-position model. The record is from RNAcentral.